CUUCCUCGGGGUUAGCAGGGGCCUGGAGUGGAUGUUUAGUCUACCGGUCAGACUCCAGGUCUUAUAUCUUGAAACUGUAAGUCCCUGAAUUCACAGACAAUUCAGAGUAAGGAUGGAGGCAAAGAAGAGGACCUUGGGUUUACUGUUCACGAGAUGACCUCAUAAAGGUGUUCAGUGAUGAAGAGGAGUGGCUGAAGAGGUAAGGAGAACACUCAAAGCAACAACAGCAAAACGUACAGUAUGAAGGGGGUAGUCAUAAGGUCAGUCCAUAACCCUGCCAGCAUCAUCCAGAUAGAAGUGGAUCUGCUAUCCCUCCCCACACCUGACUUCACUACCUGCACACCCACAAGCAGGGCAGCACUAGCCCCCAGUGCUCUUCUGUGCAUAUUAGAGUCUUCCCUGGAGGGCUCAGUACCUUGCUGGGACUCAUGGCAUGGGGAGCAGAACCCAGGCUGAAUUUCAGUCCCUACAAGGUUUUAAGUACAGGGAUCAGCCUGCACAACCGAAUGGGAGGCCCGGCCCUCAUCUGCCCUUCUGUAACUUGUCUUUCCCUGCCAGGCCUCCCUCGGAGCUCAUUGUUGAAAUCUGGCAUCCAGAGCUAUGGAUUCCCCGCUCUGCCAUUUACAAACUGUAUGAUUAGGGCUCAUCAGUUCAUCUCUCUGAGUUACUUUCUUUUCUGAAAUGGAGGUAGGGCUACUUCUCUCACAUGGCUUUAUGAGGGUGAAGUGGUUUCCAAUGAGCACUCAUCUGGAUAUUCUAGGCCCAUCCACUCACAUAGCUAAUGACACUCCUUCUUUACAAGAUGAAGGAUUAGGAGAUGAUUUUAAAUCUUUUAGCUGGAAGGGCCUUUAAGAGAUACCUGUGUCUGUCUUGGGCCUUAGAGUGAGUAAAGGGACAGCAGGUGGUCAGGCCCUGCCAACAGCAGGAUAUUUUCUGCAGGUGCCCAACAGCAGCCCUGGAGUUGCCUCAGAUCCUCCCACUGGAGGCUUCAUUGCUGUAUCUGCCAUUCCAUCCCUGGCAGGGAUAGGCCAAGGUCUUAGAUACCCUGGCACCCAACACUCCAUACAGGCUUGUCUCUGAGCAGACUCUCGGUGAAGGCUAUUGUGCUAGUCUGAGCAGAACGGGAGGUGCAGGGAUUGCAGCUGUUCCUUCACUGCAGUGUCAGUUUGGAAAUUUUCCCAGAAGACUUAGCUGGUGCCUCUUCUUUGAUAUUCAUGAGUGUGUGAACACAACGACCCUCCUCAUCUUUGUCGAACCCAUUCCUCUUGGACCACACCAAGUAUAGUCCAAAAAGAAGGUGAUUUAGGAGAAGUGUGAAGGCACCCUCAGUUCUGGCAAAUUCUUGGGUAUCCUGCAAUUCUCACUCAGCAGCAUCCCAACAAAACCAGAGAAAAGACCCGGGGCCGGGAGAUGAGCCAGGAAAAUAGCUUCAUGUUUGACUUGAGGGUACAGGCAUCUGCAGAAGCCAGCCUGGAAGACUCUUCAUGAGCCCAGCUGCAAGGGGCAUCCUAGAGCCAGUUCAUGAGCCCAACUUUACAGAGGCAUCAAGCUUCCCCUCCCCUAGAAAGGAAGGCUAUAGAGCAAGCAGAAUGUUUAAGACACAGGCUUUCAAGUGAGGCUGACUUGGAUUAGCGGAACUAAGGAUGACGUGGCCCUGUGCAAGGAACUUAAUAUCUCUGGGCUUCAUUCUUUAUCUGUUUACCUACCCCCAGGUCCUGAAAGUACCACAGAAAUAUCUGUUUUUAUUCAGAGGAUAAUAAAACAGAAUAUUUACAUAUUGCUUCAUAUUCCCCCAGGAUAUUUUUAGAUUACCACAAUAUCCUAAGAGUUUG
RNAcentral lists this long non-coding RNA (1832 nucleotides) under Homo sapiens (human). RNAcentral's name for it is "PREDICTED lncRNA (TCONS_00006869)". Lineage: Eukaryota; Metazoa; Chordata; Mammalia; Primates; Hominidae. The record is from RNAcentral.